UACGAAGGGGGCUAGCGUUGCUCGGAAUCACUGGGCGUAAAGCGCACGUAGGCGGAUUGUUAAGUCAGGGGUGAAAUCCUGGAGCUCAACUCCAGAACUGCCUUUGAUACUGGCGAUCUUGAGUCCGGAAGAGGUGAGUGGAAUUCCCGGUGUAGUGGUGAAAUGCGUAGAUAUCGGGAGGAACACCAGUGGCGAAGGCGACUUCCUGGCCUGUUCUUGACGCUGAGGCGCGAAAGCUAGGGUAGCAAACGGG
This 253-nucleotide ribosomal RNA is filed under the name uncultured bacterium. Its description in RNAcentral is "partial 16S ribosomal RNA". It matches the Rfam family "Bacterial small subunit ribosomal RNA", at positions 524 to 776 of the family's 1533-position model. The record is from RNAcentral.